UCUUGCACUGAUGCUAUCUUCAACCUCCCUGCAUAUUACUAGGGCCUCGAUGUGCAUGUAUGCCUUUUAUCUUUUGCUCUAAGGCCAUGUGCGAGGCAGAGGUCGGUCUCAGAGGUGACCUAUCCCCAGGACAGAAGAGAUGAGGGGGUAGAGCAAAGAUGUGACCUGGUGUAGGUUCUGUCUCCGCUUCCCUGCUUGUCUGGAGAGGCUCUGUCCCUCCAGCUUUGGCUUAUGGUGCGAACUGAAGAUGCUGUGUGUGUGGGUGUUUCUAUGGCGGCCGUUUCCAAAGCCGUGGCUGGGCCUGUGGCAUCAAGUCCUAUCGGCUUUACUACGGUACCUGUGAAGAGACAGUCACAGCAGGGUCUGUUAGGACUCUAAACGGGAGAUGAAUGCGGUUCGAUGCUUUCCGAAGAAUGAUCAGAACCUAGAAAUAUGAGCUCGUGAGGUUUAGGAGCAGGCCAAAAGGAUUUGGUUUCACUCCACCAAGAUUUGGCUACUUAACAGAUUAUUCUCUAUCCCAGCUUUGGGGCAGACAUAUUUUGCUGUACCAGGGGGAUGUUCCAUUGAGACUGAAAACCAAGUACAUCUGUGUAGCAUCUUCAUUUUAAGUAGAAGAACCUCGGAUUGGUGGUCCCUAAUUCAGAGUCGCUCAGAAACAUGUGCCCUGUUUUUUCCACUGGACGCUAACGGGGGCUCUUUCCUUAAAGGAAGGCAUGUGGACCACACACUGAUACUUAGGAAGCUUCUUUGUUCCACAUGACAAAUGUGUAGAGAACGCACUAAUUGUGGAAAUUGGUUUCUGGAUAUUCCAGUCUCCAUACCCAUCCAAUGUGAUGUGAUGUCUGUCUGUCUCUGUCUCUUUCUCUCUCUCUGUAUAUGUGCAAGUGUGUAUUCACACAGUGCUCAGUACAAGGCACACCUCAUAUGUUCAGAGACGUGGUGACAGAGUCAGUGGUCAGUCUCAGUGCAGGCUUACUAAGGGCUUCAGUUGAAUCUUUAACUGAGUUUUGAGGAAAAACAACAAAACAAAACAAAACCCCCAAAACAAAAAAACAAACC
Molecule: long non-coding RNA, 1059 nt
Filed under: Mus musculus (house mouse)
Lineage: Eukaryota; Metazoa; Chordata; Mammalia; Rodentia; Muridae
Description: long non-coding RNA chr2:59683730-59684789
Source: RNAcentral